UACGUAGGGUGCAGGCGUUAAUCGGAAUUACUGGGCGUAAAGCGUGCGCAGGCGGUUUGCUAAGACAGGUGUGAAAUCCCCGGGCUUAACCUGGGAACUGCAUUGGUGACUGCAAGGCUUGAGUGUGUCAGAGGGAGGUGGAAUUCCGCGUGUAGCAGUGAAAUGCGUAGAUAUGCGGAGGAACACCGAUGGCGAAGGCAGCCUCCUGGGAUAACACUGACGCUCAUGCACGAAAGCGUGGGGAGCAAACAGG
RNAcentral lists this ribosomal RNA (253 nucleotides) under uncultured bacterium. RNAcentral's name for it is "partial 16S ribosomal RNA". It matches the Rfam family "Bacterial small subunit ribosomal RNA", at positions 524 to 776 of the family's 1533-position model. The record is from RNAcentral.